UCGCCAAAAAGCCGGAAAAGAGAUUUUAGAGUGGAUUGGGGCUUAACCCAUAAUAUACACGGCACCAGAAAUCAACCCAAAUAUAAGUUCUUUUCACUCAUAUCGGCUCAUCCGUGCGAGAACCCAAAUUUGGCUAUACCACGUUAAAGCUCUGAGUGGGUAGUUUCCGUUUGAUCCCGGCAGAAAAUUGCAACCCAUCGCAAAGUUCUUUCUACCUAGCGUUGACUUUCGAAGUACCCUAGUGGGUUGAAAUAAACCCACUUUUGAGUAAACGGCAAGAAACCCAAAUUUGGCUUCUCGCACGGACAUUAUCGGCUAGGUAGCUGCUUCUCGCUUUGUUUUUGACAACAUUGCGAGCGGGAGAGCGAGAAAACAACCCACUGCUGGGUAAAAAGUUCAAGCGGUUUACUUAUUUUUGCGUUCUUUUAACGUAUUUUUUAGGUAAUCUGUUUUUUCCGUGUAAGUGUGUAGUUCAGCUCAUAUUAACCCAGAAUAUGAUUAUUUCUAGACCAACAUUUGAAAAGGGCGGAAGAGCCAAAAUGUAAACAAAUCACUUUUCAGCAUAAUUUGAUGAAACAACUCAUAGGGUAAAAACACUCGUGCUUAUUCUGCUCGGCGUGUGACGUGACAAAAGUCGUGUCGCAUGUGUCACCCGAUUCCCGUAGGCGGAUGCGGUGACAAGAGUCGGUGUGGGUGAACACCGAUGAACUCUCACCGCAUUCCCACAGUCGCUUCAGAUCGACAAAUGUCGCAUUCAAGUGACGUUUGAAUGUGAGAUUUGUCGUAACCUCGGGAGGUGUCGACAGCUCAACCAGAACGAGUUAAAACAUAAAUAAAUUGACAUCGACGGAACGGUGUAUCGAUCAACCGGAUGCCGGCGAACGUGGGUACCAAAAAUUCGCUUUGCGUAUAGUCAUCCCACCAUCGCGAAGGACAACUAUACGUUUUAGUCAAACGAAAAACACCGGAACAUUUGAGGUGAACUCGGCGUCGUGGUGCACAAACCGAGAGGAGUAGGCCCGUUCUGCGCCAAGCAGUUUCCAGCAUGAACUAAGGGAAGCUCGGAUUUCGGCAACAGGUUUAGGAGCAACAGGAAGGAUCACAUGGACCCAUUCCAUCCGAAGAUAUCGAUGAUCGUGUCGUCAGUUCACAAUCGGAGGGAAAGGGUAAUGCCGCUAGGGAUGAUCGAAUACCGUGAUUAGGAUGACGAAGGAGAGUCCCAGAAAUAGCGCGUCCCUAUGGAAUUUGAAAUUUGAACGCACCAAGAAUAUCGUUUAAGAAGCAUCCGCUUGUGGAAACUAAGGCUUUUACGAAGCUGGAGAGUAUUUAGAAGAUGGACCUUAAAUGGAAAUUAGUCGCUCGUGGAGCUGAGUUGAUUAGUUUAGUUGUGUAAUUGUGACAUGUAUUUGAGAAGCGCAAAAUAAAUAAUUUAGGAUACUUUUGUAUUUGUGUAAAUA
Molecule: long non-coding RNA, 1457 nt
Organism: Aedes albopictus (Asian tiger mosquito)
Lineage: Eukaryota; Metazoa; Arthropoda; Insecta; Diptera; Culicidae
Exons: 2
Source: RefSeq, a predicted model, not a curated record